CUGCGUACGGCUCAUUACACCAGCUGUAAUUUACUUGACCUUGACAAGCUACUUGGAUAACUGUGGUAAUUCUAGAGCUAAUACAUGCACCAAAGCUCCGAUCCGCUUGCGGAGAGGAGCGCAUUUGUUCGCCACAAAACCAAGCGCCUCACAAAGGCGUUCAGUGUUGACUCAGAAUAACUAAGCUGAUCGCACGGUCUUGCACCGGCGACGUGUCUUUCAAGUGUCUGCCUUAUCAACUUUCGAUGGUAGUGUACCUGACUACCAUGGUGAUGACGGGUAACGGAGGAUCAGGGUUCGACUCCGGAGAAGGGGCCUGAGAAAUGGCCACUACGUCUAAGGAUGGCAGCAGGCGCGCAAAUUACCCACUCUCGAUGUGAGGAGGUAGUGACGAGAAAUAACGAGACCGAUCUCACAUGAGGCCGGUCAUCGGAAUGGGUACAAUUUAAACCCUUUAACGAGUAUCUAUGAGAGGGCAAGUCUGGUGCCAGCAGCCGCGGUAAUUCCAGCUCUCAAAAUGCAUAGAAUUAUUGCUGCGGUUAAAAAGCUCGUAGUUGGAUCUGUGCUGGGCGACCGGUCCACCCACUGGGUGCGCACUGGCUCGCCCGGCUUUCCUGCCCGGUUCGCUUCCGGCGUUCGUGCCGCAAGGCGUGUUCGUCGGUGGCCGGGCGAGUUUACUUUGAACAAAUCAGAGUGCUUCAAACAGGCGUUUCGCUUGAAUGUUCGUGCAUGGAAUAAUAGAAGAGGAUUUCGGUCCGAUUUUAUUGGUUUUGCUGACCGAGAUAAUGGUUAACAGAGACAAACGGGGCCAUUCGUAUUGCUGCGUGAGAGGUGAAAUUCUUGGACCGUAGCAAGACGGACUACAGCGAAAGCAUUUGGCAAGAAUGUCUUCAUUAAUCAAGAACGAAAGUCAGAGGUUCGAAGGCGAUCAGAUACCGCCCUAGUUCUGACCGUAAACGAUGCCAACUAGCGAUCCGCCGGCGGAUUCAUUCGCCCUGGUGGGGAGCUUCCCGGAAACGAAAGUCUUCCGGUUCCGGGGGAAGUAUGGUUGCAAAGCUGAAACUUAAAGGAAUUGACGGAAGGGCACCACCAGGAGUGGAGCCUGCGGCUUAAUUUGACUCAACACGGGGAAACUCACCCGGCCCGGACACCGUAAGGAUUGACAGAUUGAUAGCUUUUUCAUGAUUCGGUGGAUGGUGGUGCAUGGCCGUUCUUAGUUCGUGGAGCGAUUUGUCUGGUUUAUUCCGAUG
Molecule: ribosomal RNA, 1250 nt
Filed under: Rotylenchus arasbaranensis
Lineage: Eukaryota; Metazoa; Nematoda; Chromadorea; Rhabditida; Hoplolaimidae
Description: SSU rRNA
Rfam family: Eukaryotic small subunit ribosomal RNA
Source: RNAcentral